UCUGAUCCUUAUUCUCCAAAUUCACAAGAACAACUUCCCUUAGCCCCAAAACAAAAAUCAAGAUCCCUCAAAAUUCAACCGUAGAAAUUCAAAAAUAAUUUAAGAGUUGGGAUCCCCAUUACAAGAGCUACAAGGAGCGCCUAUCAAUUUUGCAAAUAGAGUUUCCUAUUCAAAAGUUCAUUAAUACUCAUAAAUUUGAGGCUCAGGUGCUCAGUUCCAGCAGCGUCAGUGAUUUCUGAGCACUUUUAUCUACACUCCUGCAGUGGUGAGUCCUCAUGGUUCGUGGACCAGAUUUCCAGAUGUUCUGUAACAUCAGUUGUUGUAUUUAUCUUAUUCUAUUUGAGUAUGAUUCAGUUGGGGUCUGUCCCAGUGGCUUCCUAUUCUUGAGUUGUAGAGGUUUGUCAGACUAGACUGUUAUUUGUAUUUCUCGAUUUCUCUGUAUCUUGAGACUUGGACAUUAUAUUUACAGCGUGGAUUGAUGAGAGUGAAACUUA
This is a long non-coding RNA of Capsicum annuum, 494 nucleotides long. RefSeq lists it as uncharacterized. The transcript has 2 exons. NCBI's taxonomy places the organism in Eukaryota, Viridiplantae, Streptophyta, Magnoliopsida, Solanales, Solanaceae. The record is from RefSeq and is a predicted model, not a curated record.